ACGGGUGAGUAACGCGUGGGAAUCUACCCAUCUCUACGGAAUAACGCUUGGAAACGUGUGCUAAUACCGUAUACGUCCUUCGGGAGAAAGAUUAUCGGAGAUGGAUGAGCCCGCGUUGGAUUAGCUAGUUGGUGGGGUAAAGGCCUACCAAGGCGACGAUCCAUAGCUGGUCUGAGAGGAUGAUCAGCCACACUGGGACUGAGACACGGCCCAGACUCCUACGGGAGGCAGCAGUGGGGGAUAUUGGACAAUGGGCGCAAGCCUGAUCCAGCCAUGCCGCGUGAGUGAUGAAGGCCCUAGGGUUGUAAAGCUCUUUCACCGGUGAAGAUAAUGACGGUAACCGGAGAAGAAGCCCCGGCUAACUUCGUGCCAGCAGCCGCGGUAAUACGAAGGGGGCUAGCGUUGUUCGGAUUUACUGGGCGUAAAGCGCACGUAGGCGGACUAUUAAGUCAGGGGUGAAAUCCCGGGGCUCAACCCCGGAACUGCCUUUGAUACUGGUAGUCUUGAGUUCGAGAGAGGUGAGUGGAAUUCCGAGUGUAGAGGUGAAAUUCGUAGA
Molecule: ribosomal RNA, 556 nt
Filed under: uncultured Phyllobacterium sp.
Lineage: Bacteria; Pseudomonadati; Pseudomonadota; Alphaproteobacteria; Hyphomicrobiales; Phyllobacteriaceae
Description: bacterial SSU rRNA
Rfam family: Bacterial small subunit ribosomal RNA
Source: RNAcentral